GAUGAACGCUGGCGGCGUGCCUAAUACAUGCAAGUCGAGCGAACAGACGAGGAGCUUGCUCCUCUGACGUUAGCGGCGGACGGGUGAGUAACACGUGGAUAACCUACCUAUAAGACUGGGAUAACUUCGGGAAACCGGAGCUAAUACCGGAUAAUAUAUUGAACCGCAUGGUUCAAUAGUGAAAGACGGUUUUGCUGUCACUUAUAGAUGGAUCCGCGCCGCAUUAGCUAGUUGGUAAGGUAACGGCUUACCAAGGCGACGAUGCGUAGCCGACCUGGGAGGGUAAUCGACCACACUGAAACUGAAACAGGGUACAGACUCCUACGGGAGGAAGCAGUGGGAAACCUCCCGCAAGGGGGGAAAGCCUGAGGAAGAACCCCCAGGGGGGUGAUAAAGGUCUUCGAAUCGAAAAACUCGUUUAUUAGGAAAGAAAAAAGGGUAAAGUAACUAUCCCCUUUUGAGCGGAACCAAUCCAAAAAGCAACGGCCAACAGGGG
RNAcentral lists this ribosomal RNA (496 nucleotides) under uncultured bacterium. RNAcentral's name for it is "partial 16S ribosomal RNA". It matches the Rfam family "Bacterial small subunit ribosomal RNA", at positions 28 to 506 of the family's 1533-position model. The record is from RNAcentral.